RNAcentral lists this long non-coding RNA (1504 nucleotides) under Pongo abelii (Sumatran orangutan). Its description in RNAcentral is "lncRNA (ENSPPYG00000031197.1)". Lineage: Eukaryota; Metazoa; Chordata; Mammalia; Primates; Hominidae. The record is from RNAcentral.
CCGAGAUUGAGCCAUUGCACUCCAGCCUGGGGGACAAGAGUGAGACUUCGUCUCAAAAAAAAAAAAAUGUAUGUUGUUUCCAGUUUUUUGCUGUUACAAGCAGUCCUUGAUGAAUAUACUUAUAAAUACAGGAAUGCUAGUUGUUCUUUUCUUAAGACACGUCAAAUUACAUGCAUUAUUCAUGAUAUGUUGAUUUUCUAGUUAAGUUUUCAGAGUGUAGGAGUGCUCUAUGAUGCUUCCAAGUGUUUUCUAUAAAAUAAAAUUCUUUCAUAAUUAUGUCACUUUAUUUUAUGUGUCAUGUUUAAGCUUUCAAUCCUUUGUAUAUUAUUUCAUUCUUAUACUCAUUGUAAAUUUUCUGAAGUAAGCAAAACAGUUUCCUCAUUUUUCGUUAACUGAAAAGGUGAGGUAACUGAAGCAUGUAGAAUGAUCUACCCAAGACUGUAUAGCUAGUGAGAGAUAGAGCUGGGGCUAGAACCUGCUUGUUUUCUUGGAUCAGUAGUUUCUAACAUGUGAGCAAGACCCCUGGAGGGCUGUGAAUUAACUGUAAUGGGCCCACAAAUCCAUGUGUAUGUCAAAGAUUAUCUGAAAACAGAUAAUUUAUUUUUUAUUUUUUAUUUUUAUUUUUAUUUUAUUUUAUUUUUUUUUAGUAGAGAUGAAGUCUCACUAUAUUGCCCAGGCUGGUCUCCCAUGAACCCUUGAGCUCAAGUGAUCCUCCUGCCUUGGCCUCCCAAAGCGGUGGAAUUUUAGGCGUGAGCCACCAGGUCCAGCUGUCUACAACAUUUUUACAUGUUGGAAAAAUGAGGCCUCAUCUCAACCUUGAAAAGAAGCAUCCUGUGGACUCUGGCAAGGUGGGAGAGCCUAUCACAAAUCACACUGCAGACCAGAGUCUCCCUGCCUCCCAUCUGGAGUACCAGCCAUUUACAACUCAACAAACUGAGUACCUAGAACCAGCCUAAUGUGGAUCCUCCAGGCAGAACUCUGUUACAGAGUCUCACUUCAGAGACUAAUUGGAAAUGAAUAAUUUAAAGAAUCUUCCUCUAAGUUUUCUUUAAAGACAAAACAUUUUUGAAUGUUCAUAAGCAUAGGUUAUAUGGAACUAAGAGUAGCAAGACAAAGUUCUAGGGACAGAAAGGAAAAUGGUGGUUGCCAGCAGUUGGGGGAAGAGGGGAAUACGGGGAGUUAUUGUUUAAUGGAUACAGAGGUUUAAUUUUGCAAGAUGAAAAAGAUUCUGGAGAUGGGUGGUGACAAUGGCUGUACAACAAUGUGAGUGUACUCAAUGCCACAGAACUGAAACCUUCAAAAUGGUUAAAAUGGUAAAUUGUAUGUUAUGCAUAUUUUACCAAAAUUCAGAAUGGAAAAAAAAAUUGUUAUCUGGAGAUCAGAUUUCAAAAUAAAUUUUUUGUUAGGCCUUUUACUCACAAAAUUGAAAUAGAAUAGAAUUAUGCUAAGACAAUUCAUUAUUAGGUAUGAAUUUGAUUCAGAGAUUGGUAAAAGAUAAUAUAUA